Molecule: ribosomal RNA, 480 nt
Filed under: uncultured bacterium
Lineage: Bacteria
Description: partial 16S ribosomal RNA
Rfam family: Bacterial small subunit ribosomal RNA
Source: RNAcentral
GAUGAACGCUGGCGGCGUGCUUAACACAUGCAAGUCGAACGGAACUACUCCAAUGAGAGUCUUCGGAAAGGAUUUGGUUUAGUUUAGUGGCGGACGGGUGAGUAACGCGUGGGUAACCUGCCCUAUACAGGGGGAUAACAGUUGGAAACGACUGUUAAUACCGCAUAAGCGCACAGGAGCGCAUGCUCCGGUGUGAAAAACUCCGGUGGUAUAGGAUGGACCCGCGUCUGAUUAGCUGGUUGGCGGGGUAACGGCCCACCAAGGCGACGAUAAGUAGCCGGGCUGAGAGGGUGAACGGCCACAUUGGGACUGAGACACGGCCCAAACUCCUACGGGAGGCAGCAGUGGGGAAUAUUGCACAAUGGGGGAAACCAUGAUGCAGCGACGCCGCGUGAGCGAAGAAGUAUCUCGGUAUGUAAAGCUCUAUCAGCAGGGAAGAAAAUGACGGUACCUGACGAAGAAGCCCCGGCUAACUACGUG